CCUACGGGAGGCAGCAGUGAGGAAUAUUGGUCAAUGGCCGGAAGGCUGAACCAGCCAAGCCGCGUGAGGGACGACUGCCCUCUGGGCUGUAAACCCUGUUUAUAGGGGAAGAAUAAAUGCUACGUGUAGCAUGAUGCCUGUCCCUUUUGAUUACGCAUCGGUUAACUCUGUGCCAGCAGCCGCGGUAAUACGGAGGUUGAGAGCGUUAUUCGGAUUUAUUGGGGUUAGGGGGUGCGUAGGCGGAUUGUUAAGUUUGUGGUUAAACGUCGGGGCUUCACCUUGAUUUGCCAUUAAUACUGUAAGACUCGAGUGCAGGCGAGGUAAGCGGAAUAAGUUAAGUAGCGGUGAAAUGCGUAGAUAUAACGUAGAACUCCGAUAGCGAAGGCAGCUUACCGGACUGCGACUGACGCUGAAGCACGAGAGCGUGGGUAGCGAACAGGAUUAGAUACCCGGGUAGUC
This 459-nucleotide ribosomal RNA is filed under the name uncultured bacterium. Its description in RNAcentral is "partial 16S ribosomal RNA". It matches the Rfam family "Bacterial small subunit ribosomal RNA", at positions 338 to 795 of the family's 1533-position model. The record is from RNAcentral.